GUUAUUCCCAACCCCAGCGUGAUCUAGCCUGUGAGUUGGAAGCUGACACCGUGACCUGCCUUGAAGACUCCAAUUCUUUGGGUUCUUGUCCAUUAGGCCCACAGAUUCUCCCCCAGAUGUUUCAGCAAUAGCCAUUCAACAAAGGAAUCAGAAGCAGCAGCAAAAAACCUAAUAAGGGGCCCUUUGUGCCCAGCCGUUAGAAGACAGG
Non-coding RNA from Phascolarctos cinereus (koala), 208 nucleotides. The record is from RefSeq and is a predicted model, not a curated record. NCBI's taxonomy places the organism in Eukaryota, Metazoa, Chordata, Mammalia, Diprotodontia, Phascolarctidae.